RNAcentral lists this unclassified non-coding RNA (153 nucleotides) under Rozellomycota sp. RNAcentral describes it as "Cryptomycota sp. partial contains small subunit ribosomal RNA, internal transcribed spacer 1, and 5.8S ribosomal RNA". The stretch from base 1 to 46 matches the Rfam family "Eukaryotic small subunit ribosomal RNA", at positions 1786 to 1831 of the family's 1831-position model. The record is from RNAcentral. Lineage: Eukaryota; Fungi; Rozellomycota.
AAGUCGUAACAAGGUUUCCGUAGGUGAACCUGCGGAAGGAUCAUUAACAAAUUCUAAACAUACACACCUGUGCACGGGCUUGCCCACAUUUACGAUAAGAGCUAUUUGAAGCGUAAGAAAAAACAACUUUUAACAAUGGAUCUCUAGGCUCCU